CAAUUUGGUUUUAUGCCAGGAAUAUCAACCACAAAAGCUAUUUAUUUGUUUAGGAGACUGAUGAAAAGAUUUAGAGAAUGUAGAAGGGAUUUCCAUAUGGUCUUUAUCGACUUAGAAAAAGCUUAUGAUAGAAUCCCUAGAGAAUUAAUUUGGCAAGUGUUAGAGAAGAAUGGAGUAAAUAUGUGGGCAUGGUUAAAGAUAUUUGUAAUGGUUUAGUGACUAGUGUAAGCACUAUGGUGGAGCAGGGUAGUGAGUUCUCAAUUACAAUUGGAUUACAUCAGGGAGCAGCUCUAAACCUGUACCUUUUUGCACUAAUCAUAGAUGAGCUGACUAGAGACAUUUAAGAUCAGAUCCCUUGGUGUAUACUUUUUGUUGAUGAUAUUGUUUUGGUGGAUGAAACAAAAGUAGGGAUAAAUGCAAAGUUAGAA
Telopea speciosissima is the source of this 428-nucleotide long non-coding RNA. RefSeq lists it as uncharacterized. NCBI's taxonomy places the organism in Eukaryota, Viridiplantae, Streptophyta, Magnoliopsida, Proteales, Proteaceae. The record is from RefSeq and is a predicted model, not a curated record. The transcript has 2 exons.